This 72-nucleotide transfer RNA is filed under the name Camelus bactrianus (Bactrian camel). It matches the Rfam family "tRNA". From Rfam's summary of the family: Transfer RNA (tRNA) molecules are approximately 80 nucleotides in length. Their secondary structure includes four short double-helical elements and three loops (D, anti-codon, and T loops). RNAcentral also lists the same sequence under 1 other name. Lineage: Eukaryota; Metazoa; Chordata; Mammalia; Artiodactyla; Camelidae. The record is from Rfam by way of RNAcentral.
AGGGGUAUAGUUCAGUAGUAAAGUGUGUGCUUAGUAUGUGCAAGAUCCUGGGUUCAAUCCCCAGUGCCUCCA